AUUAAUCAGUAUUCGGUUCUAUGUCUACAUCGGAAAGAAUGGUCACAGGACUAUUCUUUCCGAUGUAGACAUAGGCGAACCGAAUACUGGUUAUAU
RNAcentral lists this microRNA precursor (96 nucleotides) under Megaselia scalaris. RNAcentral's name for it is "microRNA MIR158". The record is from RNAcentral. Lineage: Eukaryota; Metazoa; Arthropoda; Insecta; Diptera; Phoridae.